CAGUCGCCGCGGUAAUACGAAGGGGGCUAGCGUUGUUCGGAAUUACUGGGCGUAAAGCGCGCGCAGGCGGCCUAUCCAGUCUGUCUUAAAAGUUCGGGGCUCAACCCCGUGAUGGGAUGGAAACUAGUAGGCUAGAGUAUCGGAGAGGAAAGCGGAAUUCCUAGUGUAGCGGUGAAAUGCGUAGAUAUUAGGAAGAACACCAGUGGCGAAGGCGGUUUUCUGGACGAAAACUGACGCUGAGGCGCGAAGGCCAAGGGAGCGAACGGGAUUAGAUACCCCAGUAGUCCCUGUCUCUUAUACA
Molecule: ribosomal RNA, 301 nt
Filed under: uncultured bacterium
Lineage: Bacteria
Description: partial 16S ribosomal RNA
Rfam family: Bacterial small subunit ribosomal RNA
Source: RNAcentral